Molecule: long non-coding RNA, 856 nt
Organism: Papaver somniferum (opium poppy)
Lineage: Eukaryota; Viridiplantae; Streptophyta; Magnoliopsida; Ranunculales; Papaveraceae
Exons: 3
Source: RefSeq, a predicted model, not a curated record
AACACAUAGCUUCAUUGUUUUCACCUGAUUCUCUUUUACUAUCGAGUCUGCCAAUGAAUAAUGAUCUAAGCUAAUGGUUACAAAUCCUAGUGUUUAGAGCAUUGGUCUCAUUCAUUUACUUAAUAAUCUUAACUAUAUAUGUAUAUAUAUAUAUAUGUUAAUAUAAAUUUACCCCGUUACCAACCUUGAAUAUAUGUUUUUCAAUAAUAGAAUGCUUGUUCUCCUUGUUUUCCAGAUUGCUUCUGAAGGACUCAAUCACCAAGUGUUGGAGGUUUCAUGGCUGAUCUUUGAGGAAAUGAGGAUCAAUCGUACAUGAAGUUCAGACUUAAAGUUGAGGAUGUUCAAAGAAAGAAUGUUCUUACCAACUGGGGAAUGGAUUUUACAGUUGAGAUCUCUUGCAAGUAAGUGGAAGACAUUGAUUGAAGCUCAUAAUGAUGUCAAGACAACAUACAACUUCACUUUGAGGAUGUUCUGCAUUAGAUUCACCAAGUAGCGAGACAAACAGGUCAAAAGAACCUGUUAUGCUCAAUCUAGCCAGAUUUGAGAGAUUCGUCACAAGAUGGUUGAAAUCAUGGUUACCAGGCCUCUUCAAGUUAUUUAAAGAAUUGGUGGCAGAAUUUAUCCCUGAGAUGAUUGGAAAAGGAUAUUGAGAAGGGUACAUCAAGCAUUUGCCCAUUGCAGAAUGCCUUCAUCAGGAAGGUCAUGAUCAAAAGUUUGAUAAAAUUAUGGAUGCAAGUUGUGUUAUGCGAUAGGGAAGGAGUACUUGGAGAUGUUGCAAGAGGUGACAUGACUAAAUGGCCAAAAACUUAUGUAAAUCUUGUAGGAGAGUUACCAUAUUAGAGUGACAAUAUCAGUA